GCGUUAAUCGGAAUUACUGGGCGUAAAGCGUGCGUAGGCGGUUUGUUAAGUCUGUUGUGAAAUCCCCGGGCUCAACCUGGGAAUGGCAAUGGAUACUGGCAAGCUAGAGUGUGUCAGAGGAUGGUGGAAUUCCCGGUGUAGCGGUGAAAUGCGUAGAGAUCGGGAGGAACAUCAGUGGCGAAGGCGACUACCUGGACCAGCACUGAAACUGAGGCACGAAAGCGUG
RNAcentral lists this ribosomal RNA (226 nucleotides) under uncultured bacterium. Its description in RNAcentral is "partial 16S ribosomal RNA". It matches the Rfam family "Bacterial small subunit ribosomal RNA", at positions 538 to 763 of the family's 1533-position model. The record is from RNAcentral.